UACGGAGGGUGCAAGCGUUAUCCGGAUUCACUGGGUUUAAAGGGUGCGUAGGCGGAACGAUAAGUCAGUGGUGAAAGCCUGUAGCUUAACUACAGAACUGCCAUUGAUACUGUCGAUCUUGAGUAUAUUUGAUGUGGGCGGAAUGUGUCAUGUAGCGGUGAAAUGGUUAGAUAUGACACAGAACACCGAUUGCGAAGGCAGCUCACAAAACUAUAACUGACGCUGAGGCACGAAAGCGUGGGGAUCAAACAGG
This 253-nucleotide ribosomal RNA is filed under the name uncultured bacterium. RNAcentral's name for it is "partial 16S ribosomal RNA". It matches the Rfam family "Bacterial small subunit ribosomal RNA", at positions 524 to 776 of the family's 1533-position model. The record is from RNAcentral.